GACGAUCUUUCCAACAGAGUUAUAACCUAUUUUAAAGGUCUUUUCAGUCUGUUGAUCUUACCUCACUACCAUAACAACAUAUUUAAUGUGCUUGUUAUUUUGCUAGCAUAGCAUAAAUGAAUGUAAAGAAGUUGAGGGGGUACUGCAGCCCACCCUAUACCUGCCUUCCUGCGACCUUGCACUGCCUCCUGUCCUCUCACUACACUCUCUCAGACAGCAUGACCCUAACCUGACACACGUUCUGGACCUCUCAAUCGGUUCAUGCUAGUUAUAAAUCCAAACUGAUAAUCUAUAAUCUGUUGAAUGUAGGGAGAACCUGGACCCGAGGGUAAUAUAGGAGAACCAGGAUUUCCAGGAUCAGCGGUAAACGACCAUCCCAACAAGAAAACAAAGGAACUAAUUGUAUCGAACAUUGGUUUCACAAGUUCUUUGUAUUCAGGGUUCAAGGGGGUUUCCAGGACUACCAGGCCAUCCGGGAUUGAAAGGUCAAAAGGUCAGUCAAUGGUCAGUGCACAUUAACCAGCUGCAACACAGAAGACCAACCUGUAACUGUUUCAACAGGGAUUUGCUGGCUUGGCUGGAUCAAGGGGCGAGUCUGGAGCCACUGGAGCUAAAGGUGCAUCUGGUACUUCAGGAGUUCUGGGUGCUCCAGGUCCAGAGGUAUGUAACAGGUAACAGGUAACCCAACAAGAAUGUUUUUGACCGGAGAUCACUGAGACACAUCCUGUUUCAGGGACCAGCAGGCCUGCAGGGAGAAAGAGGCCGUCCUGGUCCGAGUGGGCCAUUGGUGAGAAAAUCAGAACACACCAAUUCAGGAAUAAUGAACCAAAUCCAAACUGACUUUUUUU
RNAcentral lists this long non-coding RNA (848 nucleotides) under Takifugu rubripes (torafugu). RNAcentral describes it as "lncRNA (ENSTRUG00000029052.1)". The record is from RNAcentral. Lineage: Eukaryota; Metazoa; Chordata; Actinopteri; Tetraodontiformes; Tetraodontidae.